RNAcentral lists this ribosomal RNA (500 nucleotides) under uncultured bacterium. RNAcentral describes it as "partial 16S ribosomal RNA". It matches the Rfam family "Bacterial small subunit ribosomal RNA", at positions 30 to 523 of the family's 1533-position model. The record is from RNAcentral.
AUUGAACGCUGGCGGAAUGCUUUACACAUGCAAGUCGAACGGCGGCACGGACUUCGGUCUGGUGGCGAGUGGCGAACGGGUGAGUAAUGUAUCGGAACGUGCCCAGUCGUGGGGGAUAACGUAGUGAAAAUUACGCUAAUACCGCAUACGAUCUAUGGAUGAAAGCGGGGGAUCGCAAGACCUCGCGCGAUUGGAGCGGCCGAUAUCAGAUUAGGUAGUUGGUGGGGUAAAGGCCCACCAAGCCAACGAACUGUAGCUGGUCUGAGAGGACGACCAGCCACACUGGAACUGAGACACGGUCCAGAAUCCUACGGGAGGCAGCAGUGGGGAAUUUUGGACAAUGGGCGAAAGCCUGAUCCAGCCAUUCCGCGUGCAGGAUGAAGGCCCUCGGGUUGUAAACUGCUUUUGUACAGAACGAAAAGGUUUCUACUAAUACUAGGAGCUCAUGACGGUACUGUAAGAAUAAGCACCGGCUAACUACGUGCCAGCCGCCGCGGGAA